GCCGUGAUCGUAUAGUGGUCAGUAUUCUGCGUUGUGGCCGCAGCAAACUCGGUUCGAAUCCGAGUCACGGCA
This 72-nucleotide transfer RNA is filed under the name Callorhinchus milii (elephant shark). RNAcentral describes it as "tRNA-His (GTG) (tRNA-His-GTG-12-1)". It matches the Rfam family "tRNA". Rfam says of the family: Transfer RNA (tRNA) molecules are approximately 80 nucleotides in length. The record is from Rfam by way of RNAcentral. Lineage: Eukaryota; Metazoa; Chordata; Chondrichthyes; Chimaeriformes; Callorhinchidae.